Molecule: ribosomal RNA, 253 nt
Filed under: uncultured bacterium
Lineage: Bacteria
Description: partial 16S ribosomal RNA
Rfam family: Bacterial small subunit ribosomal RNA
Source: RNAcentral
GACGAACCGUGCAAACGUUAUUCGGAAUCACUGGGCUUAAAGGGUGCGUAGGCGGGCUCGUUAGUCAGGGGUGAAAUCCCACGGCCCAACCGUGGAAGUGCCUCUGAUACUGCGAGCCUCGAGGGGGAUAGGGGCGUGCGGAACUCAGGGUGGAGCGGUGAAAUGCGUAGAUAUCCUGAGGAACACCGGUGGCGAAAGCGGCGCGCUGGAUCCCUACUGACGCUGAGGCACGAAAGCCAGGGGAGCAAACGGG